RNAcentral lists this ribosomal RNA (1441 nucleotides) under uncultured bacterium. Its description in RNAcentral is "bacterial SSU rRNA". It matches the Rfam family "Bacterial small subunit ribosomal RNA". The record is from RNAcentral.
GAUCCUGGCUCAGGAUGAACGCUGGCGGCGUGCUUAACACAUGCAAGUCGAACGAACCUUCGGGUUAGUGGCGGACGGGUGAGUAACGCGUGGGAAUCUGCCCUCAGGAGGGGGAUAACGGCUGGAAACGGCUGCUAAUACCCCAUAUGCCGAGAGGUGAAAUGAAUUUCGCCUGAGGAUGAGCCCGCGUCUGAUUAGCUAGUUGGUGAGGUAAGAGCUCACCAAGGCAUCGAUCAGUAGCUGGUCUGAGAGGAUGAUCAGCCACACUGGGACUGAGACACGGCCCAGACUCCUACGGGAGGCAGCAGUGGGGAAUUUUCCGCAAUGGGCGAAAGCCUGACGGAGCAACGCCGCGUGAGGGAUGAAGGCCUCUGGGCUGUAAACCUCUUUUCUCAAGGAAGAAGAUCUGACGGUACUUGAGGAAUAAGCCACGGCUAAUUCCGUGCCAGCAGCCGCGGUAAUACGGGAGUGGCAAGCGUUAUCCGGAAUUAUUGGGCGUAAAGCGUCCGCAGGCGGCCUUUCAAGUCUGCUGUUAAAACGUGGAGCUUAACUCCAUCAUGGCAGUGGAAACUGUUGGGCUUGAGUGUGGUAGGGGCAGAGGGAAUUCCCGGUGUAGCGGUGAAAUGCGUAGAUAUCGGGAAGAACACCAGUGGCGAAGGCGCUCUGCUGGGCCAUAACUGACGCUCAUGGACGAAAGCCAGGGGAGCGAAAGGGAUUAGAUACCCCUGUAGUCCUGGCUGUAAACGAUGAACACUAGGUGUCGGGGGAAUCGACCCCCUCGGUGUCGUAGCCAACGCGUUAAGUGUUCCGCCUGGGGAGUACGCGCGCAAGUGUGAAACUCAAAGGAAUUGACGGGGGCCCGCACAAGCGGUGGAGUAUGUGGUUUAAUUCGAUGCAACGCGAAGAACCUUACCAGGGUUUGACAUCCUGCGAAUCUCUUGGAAACGAGAGAGUGCCCUCGGGAACGCAGUGACAGGUGGUGCAUGGCUGUCGUCAGCUCGUGUCGUGAGAUGUUGGGUUAAGUCCCGCAACGAGCGCAACCCACGUCUUUAGUUGCCAGCAUUUAGUUGGGCACUCUAGAGAGACCGCCGGUGAUAAACCGGAGGAAGGUGUGGAUGACGUCAAGUCAUCAUGCCCCUUACAUCCUGGGCUACACACGUACUACAAUGCUACGGACAAAGAGCAGCAAGUUCGCGAGGACAAGCAAAUCUCAUAAACCGUGGCUCAGUUCAGAUCGUAGGCUGCAACUCGCCUACGUGAAGGAGGAAUCGCUAGUAAUCGCAGGUCAGCAUACUGCGGUAAAUACGUUCCCGGGCCUUGUACACACCGCCCGUCACACCAUGGAAGUUGGCCACGCCCGAAGCCGUUACUCCAACCCUUGUGGAGGAGGACGUCGAAGGUGGGGCUGAUGACUGGGGUGAAGUCGUAACAAGGUAGCCGU